UACGUAGGGUGCAAGCGUUGUCCGGAAUUAUUGGGCGUAAAGAGCUCGUAGGCGGUCUGUCGCGUCGAAUGUGAAAACCCGGGGCUCAACCCCGGGCCUGCAUUCGAUACGGGCAGACUAGAGUUCGGUAGGGGAGUCUGGAAUUCCUGGUGUAGCGGUGAAAUGCGUAGAUAUCUGGAGGAACACCGGUGGCGAAGGCGGCAUCCUGGACCAAUAUUGACGCUGAGGAGCGAAAGCUAGGGGAGCAAACGGG
This 253-nucleotide ribosomal RNA is filed under the name uncultured bacterium. RNAcentral describes it as "partial 16S ribosomal RNA". It matches the Rfam family "Bacterial small subunit ribosomal RNA", at positions 524 to 776 of the family's 1533-position model. The record is from RNAcentral.